RNAcentral lists this ribosomal RNA (498 nucleotides) under uncultured bacterium. RNAcentral describes it as "partial 16S ribosomal RNA". It matches the Rfam family "Bacterial small subunit ribosomal RNA", at positions 899 to 1397 of the family's 1533-position model. The record is from RNAcentral.
ACUCAAAUGAAUUGACGGGGACCCGCACAAGCGGUGGAGUAUGUGGCUUAAUUCGAUGCAACGCGAAGAACCUUACCAAGGCUUGACAUGGAUUUCUAAGCACGUGAAAGCGUGUGACCCUUCGGGGGACUUCCACAGGUGCUGCAUGGCCGUCGUCAGCUCGUGUCGUGAGAUGUUGGGUUAAGUCCCGCAACGAGCGCAACCCCUGUGAACUGUUGCCAGCGCGUAAAGGCGGGGACUCUGUUCAGACUGCCCAGAUCAACUGGGAGGAAGGUGGGGACGACGUCAGGUCAGUAUGGCCCUUACGCCUUGGGCUGCACACGUACUACAAUGCCCAGUACAAUGAGAACCGAGACCGCGAGGUGGAGGAAAUCUACAAAACUGGGCCCAGUUCGGAUUGGAGGCUGCAACUCGCCUCCAUGAAGCCGGAAUCGCUAGUAAUGCUGCAUCAGCUACGGCAGCGUGAAUACGUUCCCGGGUCUUGUACACACCGCCCGU